AGGCACGUAGCUCAGCCCGGUAGAGCACUACCUUGACACGGUAGGGGUCUGCGGUUCAAAUCCGCACGUGCCUA
Molecule: transfer RNA, 74 nt
Filed under: Acidobacteriota bacterium
Lineage: Bacteria; Pseudomonadati; Acidobacteriota
Also listed under: 2 other names
Description: tRNA-Val
Rfam family: tRNA
About the family: Transfer RNA (tRNA) molecules are approximately 80 nucleotides in length. Their secondary structure includes four short double-helical elements and three loops (D, anti-codon, and T loops).
Source: RNAcentral